Molecule: ribosomal RNA, 158 nt
Filed under: Diaporthe hickoriae
Lineage: Eukaryota; Fungi; Ascomycota; Sordariomycetes; Diaporthales; Diaporthaceae
Also listed under: 1 other name
Description: 5.8S ribosomal RNA
Rfam family: 5.8S ribosomal RNA
About the family: 5.8S ribosomal RNA (5.8S rRNA) is a component of the large subunit of the eukaryotic ribosome. It is transcribed by RNA polymerase I as part of the 45S precursor that also contains 18S and 28S rRNA. Functionally, it is thought that 5.8S rRNA may be involved in ribosome translocation.
Source: RNAcentral
AAACUUUCAACAACGGAUCUCUUGGUUCUGGCAUCGAUGAAGAACGCAGCGAAAUGCGAUAAGUAAUGUGAAUUGCAGAAUUCAGUGAAUCAUCGAAUCUUUGAACGCACAUUGCGCCCUCUGGUAUUCCGGAGGGCAUGCCUGUCCGAGCGUCAUUU